GGUCAGAGGCGAUGAAGGACGUGGCAGCCUGCGAAAAGUAUCGGGGAGCUGGCAACAAGCUUUGAUCCGGUAAUGUCCGAAUGGGGAAACCCACCCGCUUGCGGGUAUCCUGCAGUGAAUACAUAGCUGCUGGAAGCGAACCUGGUGAACUGAAAUAUCUAAGUAACCAGAGGAAAAGAAAUCAACCGAGAUUCCGUAAGUAGCGACGAGCGAACGCGGACUAGCCCUUAAGCUGAUUUGGUUCUAGGAAAACGCUCUGGAAAGAGCGGCCAUAGAAGGUGAUAGCCCUGUAUCUGAAAGGGCCAUUUCAGUGAAGACGAGUAGGGCGGGGCACGUGAAACCCUGUCUGAACAUGGGGGGACCAUCCUCCAAGGCUAAAUACUACUGACCGACCGAUAGUGAACCAGUACCGUGAGGGAAAGGCGAAAAGAACCCCGGAGAGGGGAGUGAAAUAGAACCUGAAACCGUGUGCGUACAAGCAGUAGGAGCUCCGCAAGGAGUGACUGCGUACCUUUUGUAUAAUGGGUCAGCGACUUACUGUUCGUGGCAAGCUUAACCGUAUAGGGGAGGCGAAGGGAAACCGAGUCUGAUAAGGGCGCAUAGUCGCGGGCAGUAGACCCGAAACCGGGUGAUCUAGUCAUGCCCAGGGUGAAGGUGCGGUAACACGCACUGGAGGCCCGAACCCACUCCCGUUGCAAAGGUAGGGGAUGAGGUGUGAUUAGGAGUGAAAAGCUAAUCGAACCCGGAGAUAGCUGGUUCUCCUCGAAAGCUAUUUAGGUAGCGCCUCAUAUGUAUCCUCUCGGGGGUAGAGCACUGUUAUGGCUAGGGGGUCAUCGCGACUUACCAAACCAUUGCAAACUCCGAAUACCGAGACGGACUGUAUGGGAGACACACGGCGGGUGCUAACGUCCGUCGUGAAAAGGGAAACAACCCAGACCCACAGCUAAGGUCCCAAAUUUUGUGCUAAGUGGAAAACCAUGUGGAAAGGCACAGACAGCCAGGAGGUUGGCUUAGAAGCAGCCACCCUUUAAAGAAAGCGUAAUAGCUCACUGGUCGAGUCGGUCUGCGGGGAAGAUUUAACGGGGCUAAGCACAGAACCGAAGCUUGGGGUGCAUACUUCGUAUGCGCGGUAGAGGAGCGUUCCGUAAGCCGUUGAAGGUGGAUUGAGAAGUCUGCUGGAGGUAUCGGAAGUGCGAAUGCUGACAUGAGUAACGAUAAUGCGGGUGAAAAACCCGCACGCCGAAAGCCCAAGGUUUCCUUGCGCAACGUUAAUCGGCGCAGGGUGAGUCGGCCCCUAAGGCGAGGACGAAAGUCGUAGUCGAUGGGAAGCAGGUUAAUAUUCCUGCACCUCGCGUAAGUGCGAUGGAGGGACGGAGAAGGUUAGGUGUACCAGGCGUUGGUUGUCCUGGGGAAAGGCGGUAGGUUUGGAUCUUUGGCAAAUCCGGGAUCCUCUAAGACCGAGCACCGAGACGAGCCUUUAUGGCAAAGUCACUGAUACCACGCUUCCAGGAAAAGCUCCUAAGCUUCAGCUUACGCAGACCGUACCGUAAACCGACACAGGUGGGUAGGAUGAGAAUUCUCAGGCGCUUGAGAGAACUCGGGUGAAGGAACUAGGCAACAUGGCACCGUAACUUCGGGAGAAGGUGCACCCUUUUUGGUGGCUCGUGCGAGCUAUAGCUGAAGAGGGUCGCAGUAACCAGGCCGCUGCGACUGUUUAUCAAAAACACAGCACUCUGCAAACACGAAAGUGGACGUAUAGGGUGUGACGCCUGCCCGGUGCUGGAAGGUUAAUUGAUGGGGUCAGCCGCAAGGCGAAGCUCUUGAUCGAAGCCCCAGUAAACGGCGGCCGUAACUAUAACGGUCCUAAGGUAGCGAAAUUCCUUGUCGGGUAAGUUCCGACCUGCACGAAUGGCGUAAUGAUGGCCAGGCUGUCUCCACCCGAGACUCAGUGAAAUUGAACUCGCUGUGAAGAUGCAGUGUACCCGCGGCAAGACGGAAAGACCCCGUGAACCUUUACUAUAGCUU
This 2025-nucleotide ribosomal RNA is filed under the name human gut metagenome. RNAcentral's name for it is "bacterial LSU rRNA". It matches the Rfam family "Bacterial large subunit ribosomal RNA", at positions 38 to 2112 of the family's 2925-position model. The record is from RNAcentral.